CAUGGCCUUUAUGUCCAGGGCUACACACGUGCUACAAUGGACGGUACAGAGGGUCGCAAUAUCGCGAGAUGGAGACCAAUCCCAAAAAAGCCGUUCCCAGUUCGGAUUGGAGUCUGCAACUCGACUCCAUGAAGUUGGAAUCGCUAGUAAUCGCGGAUCAGCAUGCCGCGGUGAAUACGUUCCCGGGCCUU
This 191-nucleotide ribosomal RNA is filed under the name uncultured Desulfobacteraceae bacterium. RNAcentral describes it as "partial 16S ribosomal RNA". It matches the Rfam family "Bacterial small subunit ribosomal RNA", at positions 1194 to 1382 of the family's 1533-position model. Lineage: Bacteria; Pseudomonadati; Thermodesulfobacteriota; Desulfobacteria; Desulfobacterales; Desulfobacteraceae. The record is from RNAcentral.